This 72-nucleotide transfer RNA is filed under the name Ovis aries (sheep). It matches the Rfam family "tRNA". From Rfam's summary of the family: Transfer RNA (tRNA) molecules are approximately 80 nucleotides in length. Their secondary structure includes four short double-helical elements and three loops (D, anti-codon, and T loops). Lineage: Eukaryota; Metazoa; Chordata; Mammalia; Artiodactyla; Bovidae. The record is from Rfam by way of RNAcentral.
UCCCUGGUGGCUCAGACAGUAAAGAAUCUGCCUGCAAUGCAGAAGACCUGGGUUUGGUCCCCAGGUUGGGAA